RNAcentral lists this ribosomal RNA (207 nucleotides) under uncultured bacterium. RNAcentral's name for it is "partial 16S ribosomal RNA". It matches the Rfam family "Bacterial small subunit ribosomal RNA", at positions 568 to 774 of the family's 1533-position model. The record is from RNAcentral.
CGUGUAGGCGGCUAGGUAGGUCCGUUGUGAAAACUCGAGGCUCAACCUCGAGACGCCGGUGGAAACCAUCUAGCUAGAGUCCGGAAGAGGAGAGUGGAAUUCCUGGUGUAGCGGUGAAAUGCGCAGAUAUCAGGAAGAACACCCGUGGCGAAGGCGGCUCUCUGGUACGUGACUGACGCUGAGACGCGAAAGCGUGGGGAGCGAACA